GCCAUUCUGUUAAUUUGGUGUUUGGUGAGUAACUCUGUGAAUAAUGUUCAUCGAAACAGGCGGUUCUGUCUCAUAAGCGUUUAUUUCUAUAAUAUGGCAAAACAAAACAACCCAGGGUGAAUUGUUGGUGUAGGACUUUGCCUGCAUGUUGUCAGGUGAGCUUACACUCCAAUGGGCCAUGUAGUAAAACAUUUUGUUAUUUAAAUGUGCAAAUUGAUUUGGGACAGAGCGAAUUUCACUUAUAGUUUUGUUUAUAUUAUGGCCAUUGCUUGCCAGGAGACGUGGGUGUUUUACUGCAG
Molecule: non-coding RNA, 299 nt
Organism: Pelobates cultripes (western spadefoot toad)
Lineage: Eukaryota; Metazoa; Chordata; Amphibia; Anura; Pelobatidae
Source: the annotation of a GenBank genome assembly